UGCAUGCUCACCUUAGUGUUGCUGGUCCCAGAGACUGGGCAUUGUUGGGAGGAAAUACGGACACAAACAGACUCAUAGCUAUUCAUAUGCAUGUGGCAGGCACAGAAACAGUGGCUUGCUGAGUAGCUAGAAAUAGGGACUCAUACACUCUGCGUCAGCAGGGAGACAGGGAGAGAAGAAGCUUGUAUGGGAAGGAUGAAUCAGUUUCCUCAGGAAAGACAGAUAGGCUCAUACAGGAGCAGAACCGAAGGGCGCCGAACCAAGUAGAAAGUGUGUAGCGAAGUGUGUCUGCAGAACGGGUAGAAAGUGUGUGAUGAUGUGUGUCUUGAGAAUGGAGUAGAAAGUGCGUAACAAUGUGUGUCUAUAGAACAGGGUAGAAAGUGCGUGGUGACAUGUGUCUGCAGAACGGAUAUAAAGUGUGUGGUGAUAUGUCUCUGAAGAAUGGGUAGAAAGUGCGUGGUGACGUGUGUCUGUAGAACAGGGUAGAAGGUACGUGGCGAACGUGUGGCUACAGAAUGGGUAGAAACUGCUUGAUGACGUGUGUCUGUAGAACGGGGUAGAAAGUGCGUGAUGACAUGUCUGUAGAAUGGAAAGUGCGUGAUGACGUGUGUCUGUAGAACAGGUGGAAAGUGCGUGAUGACGUGUCUGUAGAACAGGUGGAAAGUGCAUGAUGACGUGUGUCUGUAGAACGGGUGGAAAGUGCGUGAUGACAUGUGUCUGUAGAACGGGUGGAAAGUGCGUGAUGACGUGUGUCUGUAGAACGGGUGGAAAGUGCGUGAUGACGUGUGUCUGUAGAACGGGUGGAAAGUGCGUGAUGACGUGUCUGUAGAACGGGUGGAAAGUGCGUGAUGACGUGUGUCUGUAGAACGGGUGGAAAGUGCGUGAUGAUGU
This 891-nucleotide long non-coding RNA is filed under the name Pan troglodytes (chimpanzee). RNAcentral describes it as "lncRNA (ENSPTRG00000052909.1)". The record is from RNAcentral. Lineage: Eukaryota; Metazoa; Chordata; Mammalia; Primates; Hominidae.